UGGGGAAUAUUGCACAAUGGGGGAAACCCUGAUGCAGCCAUGCCGCGUGUGUGAAGAAGGCCCUAGGGUUGUAAAGCACUUUCAGUUGUGAGGAAAGGUUAACGGUUAAUACCCGUUAGCUGUGACGUUAGCAACAGAAGAAGCACCGGCUAACUCCGUGCCAGCAGCCGCGGUAAUACGGAGGGUGCAAGCGUUAAUCGGAAUUACUGGGCGUAAAGCGCACGCAGGCGGUUUGUUAAGCUAGAUGUGAAAGCCCCAGGCUCAACCUGGGAACAGCAUUUAGAACUGACUGACUAGAGUCUUGGAGAGGGGAGUGGAAUUCCAGGUGUAGCGGUGAAAUGCGUAGAGAU
RNAcentral lists this ribosomal RNA (350 nucleotides) under uncultured bacterium. RNAcentral describes it as "bacterial SSU rRNA". It matches the Rfam family "Bacterial small subunit ribosomal RNA", at positions 355 to 697 of the family's 1533-position model. The record is from RNAcentral.